Molecule: ribosomal RNA, 492 nt
Filed under: uncultured bacterium
Lineage: Bacteria
Description: partial 16S ribosomal RNA
Rfam family: Bacterial small subunit ribosomal RNA
Source: RNAcentral
AGUGAACGCUGGCGGUAGGCCUAACACAUGCAAGUCGAACGGCAGCACAGUAAGAGCUUGCUCUUACGGGUGGCGAGUGGCGGACGGGUGAGGAAUACAUCGGAAUCUACUUUUUCGUGGGGGAUAACGUAGGGAAACUUACGCUAAUACCGCAUACGACCUACGGGUGAAAGCAGGGGAUCUUCGGACCUUGCGCGAUUGAAUGAGCCGAUGUCGGAUUAGCUAGUUGGCGGGGUAAAGGCCCACCAAGGCGACGAUCCGUAGCUGGUCUGAGAGGAUGAUCAGCCACACUGGAACUGAGACACGGUCCCGACUCCUACGGGAGGCAGCAGUGGGGAAUAUUGGACAAUGGGCGCAAGCCUGAUCCAGCCAUACCGCGUGGGUGAAGAAGGCCUUCGGGUUGUAAAGCCCUUUUGUUGGGAAAGAAAAGCAGCAGGUUAAUACCCCGCUGUUCUGACGGUACCAAAAGAAUAAGCACCGGCUAACUUCGUG